CCCAAGGGCACGCUACCACUGAGCUACAUGCCCAGCCCUUUUUAUUUUGAGACAGGGACUAUGGUUUUGAUGUGAGAUGUCCUCCAAAAGCUCAUGUGUGGGACAAGGCAAGCAAGUUCAGGAGGUGAAAUGAUUGGGUUAGGAGAGCUUUAGCCCAGUCAGUGCAGGAAUCCACUGUUAGGGAUUAACUUGGUGGUGGCUGUGGGCAGGUAGGUGUGGCUGGAGGAGGUGGGUCCCUGGGGGCAUUUCUUUGGGGUUUAUGUUUUUCCUCUGGUGAGUCAAGUCUCCCUCUGCUUCCUGGUGGCCAGGUCCUGAGCUGCUUUCCUUUUCUGAACAUUUCUGCACCUUGGGCUCAGAGCAAUGGGGCCAGCUGACUGUAGACCAAGACUUCUGAAGCUGUGAGCCCCAGAUGAACUUUGUGUCCUCUAAAAUUGUUCUUGUCAGGGCUUUUGGUCACAGUGGUGAAAAAGCAGACUAAAACCGACUUGUCAGAUUGCUGAGGCCGGCCUUGAACCUGUAGGAUUAUAGGAGUAUGCCACUGCACCUGGCUCAGCUUAACUUUUGUAUAAAGAACAAUCCUCUGUUUGUUUACACUCUUAUUCCACUGGUUAAUAUUCUUUCUGUUUAUAUUUUUAUUAAUUUAUGGGUCAAUUAAUUCAAUUACACAAUUAUGAUUCUAUACAAUUAAUAUAAACACAUUUGGGCCCAAACACAGCAGACUCUUGCUAACCGUGCACCUCAACAGGUGAGAGGAGGAAUGACGGGCGGGAGUGAGAAGACCUUGCUGGGCCUGGGUGCAGGUGGCUGGCAGAUUCCAUCAAGGAAGUGAAGGGUAUCAGUUGAUCUAGUAAGUUGGAUAAGUGGGGGACUGGCUAAGAAAGUGCGACAAAAGUAUUCAUUGUUGCUGUGAUCUCAUGAAAGAUGGGGCACUUGGGUGCCCCGGGUCCCAUCACCGCAGACAGUGUUCCCCAAGAAAGGACAGUUGGCAACUCCACACCAACAUUUUUUCCGAUUGCGUGUCUGUCAUUUCCUACACACAACUGAAGCUUUGUCAAGGGUGGGUCGUGACAUGUGGACUAAGGACUGGCAGCCGCUGACCUGUUCACACCCUCUCCAGUCAUGGCUUCUCCCCAAUAAAACCAUGAGCCCUUGACCACUUGUGCUUGCAUGUUACUUAAGGACCUGAUGAUUAAUUUGUCACUCAAGCAGCAGCCACACUGCCUCUCCUUGGUGGCAUUCCCAUGAAGAAUAUGACCUUCUACCAAGGUGCUGAGGAUUUCUGAGACAAAGAAGCAAUAGGUCACAGCCCCUGGUCUGAGCCUGUGGCCCAGAACUGGCCCUCUGGUGAUGGCAAGGAGUUACGGCAUUCAGAUGGUGACUCAGUUGAAAACUUCACACAACGUUUGCAAAAUUAAUAAUGAAACCCCAAAGCAGAAGGACCAAGCCCCGGAAACCUUGUGUCUUUUCAUGGAAACACAAUGCUGAAAUGGCAGGUGGUGAAGGAAAGCAGAAGCAGUGGCAAGGUGGGCGGAGCAUUUCAUCCCAAGGUACCGGAAGACAUCAGGGUGGCUGAGAGGGCAGAG
Molecule: long non-coding RNA, 1583 nt
Filed under: Marmota monax (woodchuck)
Lineage: Eukaryota; Metazoa; Chordata; Mammalia; Rodentia; Sciuridae
Source: RNAcentral